Molecule: ribosomal RNA, 433 nt
Filed under: uncultured bacterium
Lineage: Bacteria
Description: bacterial SSU rRNA
Rfam family: Bacterial small subunit ribosomal RNA
Source: RNAcentral
AGCGAACGCUGGCGGCAGGCUUAACACAUGCAAGUCGAGCGCCGUAGCAAUACGGAGCGGCAGACGGGUGAGUAACGCGUGGGAACGUACCUUCUGGUUCGGAAUAACUCAGGGAAACUUGAGCUAAUACCGGAUAAGCCCUUCGGGGGAAAGAUUUAUCGCCGGAAGAUCGGCCCGCGUAAGAUUAGCUAGUUGGUGAGGUAAUGGCUCACCAAGGCUACGAUCUUUAGCUGGUCUGAGAGGAUGAUCAGCCACAUUGGGACUGAGACACGGCCCAAACUCCUACGGGAGGCAGCAGUGGGGAAUAUUGGACAAUGGGCGCAAGCCUGAUCCAGCCAUGCCGCGUGAGUGAUGAAGGCCUUAGGGUUGUAAAGCUCUUUUAGCAGGGACGAUAAUGACGGUACCUGCAGAAAAAGCCCCGGCCAACUUCGUG